Molecule: ribosomal RNA, 253 nt
Filed under: uncultured bacterium
Lineage: Bacteria
Description: partial 16S ribosomal RNA
Rfam family: Bacterial small subunit ribosomal RNA
Source: RNAcentral
UACGAGAGGCCCAAACGUUAUUCGGAUUUACUGGGCUUAAAGAGUUCGCAGGCGGCUUGGAAAGUGGGGUGUGAAAGCCCUCGGCUCAACCGAGGAAUUGCGCUCCAAACUGCCGAGCUUGAGGAAGCUAGAGGUGAGCAGAACUGAUGGUGGAGCGGUGAAAUGCGUUGAUAUCAUCAGGAAUACCGGAGGCGAAGGCGGCUCACUGGGACUUUUCUGACGCUGAGGAACGAAAGCUAGGGGAGCAAACGGG